UUACUACUCCCUUCGUCUCAAAAUUCUUGUCUUAAAAUUGUCUAGAUAUGAAUGUAUUUAGUCACAGUUUAGUAUUUAGAUACCUAGACAAACCUAAGACAAGAAUAAUGGGACGGAAGGAGUAUUAA
RNAcentral lists this microRNA precursor (128 nucleotides) under Hordeum vulgare. RNAcentral's name for it is "microRNA MIR1122". It matches the Rfam family "MIR1120/MIR1122 microRNA precursor family". The record is from RNAcentral. Lineage: Eukaryota; Viridiplantae; Streptophyta; Magnoliopsida; Poales; Poaceae.